RNAcentral lists this ribosomal RNA (315 nucleotides) under Klebsiella planticola. RNAcentral's name for it is "bacterial SSU rRNA". It matches the Rfam family "Bacterial small subunit ribosomal RNA", at positions 39 to 352 of the family's 1533-position model. The record is from RNAcentral. Lineage: Bacteria; Pseudomonadati; Pseudomonadota; Gammaproteobacteria; Enterobacterales; Enterobacteriaceae.
GCGGCAGGCCUAACACAUGCAAGUCGAGCGGUAACACAGAGAGCUUGCUCUCGGGUGACGAGCGGCGGACGGGUGAGUAAUGUCUGGGAAACUGCCUGAUGGAGGGGGAUAACUACUGGAAACGGUAGCUAAUACCGCAUAACGUCGCAAGACCAAAGUGGGGGACCUUCGGGCCUCAUGCCAUCAGAUGUGCCCAGAUGGGAUUAGCUAGUAGGUGGGGUAAUGGCUCACCUAGGCGACGAUCCCUAGCUGGUCUGAGAGGAUGACCAGCCACACUGGAACUGAGACACGGUCCAGACUCCUACGGGAGGCAGC